Molecule: ribosomal RNA, 162 nt
Filed under: Fagus longipetiolata
Lineage: Eukaryota; Viridiplantae; Streptophyta; Magnoliopsida; Fagales; Fagaceae
Also listed under: 1 other name
Description: 5.8S ribosomal RNA
Rfam family: 5.8S ribosomal RNA
About the family: 5.8S ribosomal RNA (5.8S rRNA) is a component of the large subunit of the eukaryotic ribosome. It is transcribed by RNA polymerase I as part of the 45S precursor that also contains 18S and 28S rRNA.
Source: RNAcentral
AAAACGACUCUCGGCAACGGAUAUCUCGGCUCUCGCAUCGAUGAAGAACGUAGCAAAAUGCGAUACUUGGUGUGAAUUGCAGAAUCCCGUGAAUCAUCGAGUCUUUGAACGCAAGUUGCGCCCAACGCCAUUCGGCCGAGGGCACGUCUGCCUGGGUGUCAC